GCUUACCAUGCAAGUCGAACGAUGAAGCCCAUGCUUGCAGGGUGGAUUAGUGGCGAACGGGUGAGUAACACGUGAGUAACCUGCCCCUGACUCUGGGAUAAGCCCGGGAAACUGGGUCUAAUACCGGAUAUGACUUCCUACUGCAUGGUGGGUUGUUGAAAGAUUUAUCGGUGGGGGAUGGACUCGCGGCCUAUCAGCUUGUUGGUGAGGUAAUGGCUCACCAAGGCGACGACGGGUAGCCGGCCUGAGAGGGUGACCGGCCACACUGGGACUGAGACACGGCCCAGACUCCUACGGGAGGCAGCAGUGGGGAAUAUUGCACAAUGGGCGGAAGCCUGAUGCAGCGACGCCGCGUGAGGGAUGACGGCCUUCGGGUUGUAAACCUCUUUCAGUAGGGAAGAAGCGAAAGUGACGGUACCUGCAGAAGAAGCGCCGGCUAACUACGUGCCAGCAGCCGCGGUAAUACGUAGGGCGCAAGCGUUAUCCGGAUUUAUUGGGCGUAAAGAGCUCGUAGGCGGUUUGUCGCGUCUGCCGUGAAAGUCCGAGGCUCAACCUCGGAUCUGCGGUGGGUACGGGCAGACUAGAGUGAUGUAGGGGAGACUGGAAUUCCUGGUGUAGCGGUGAAAUGCGCAGAUAUCAGGAGGAACACCGAUGGCGAAGGCAGGUCUCUGGGCAUUUACUGACGCUGAGGAGCGAAAGCAUGGGGAGCGAACAGGAUUAGAUACCCUGGUAGUCCAUGCCGUAAACGUUGGGCACUAGGUGUGGGGGACAUUCCACGUUUUCCGCGCCGUAGCUAACGCAUUAAGUGCCCCGCCUGGGGAGUACGGCCGCAAGGCUAAAACUCAAAGGAAUUGACGGGGGCCCGCACAAGCGGCGGAGCAUGCGGAUUAAUUCGAUGCAACGCGAAGAACCUUACCAAGGCUUGACAUGUGCCAGACCGCUCCAGAGAUGGGGUUUCUCUUCGGGCUGGUUCACAGGUGGUGCAUGGUUGUCGUCAGCUCGUGUCGUGAGAUGUUGGGUUAAGUCCCGCAACGAG
Molecule: ribosomal RNA, 1036 nt
Filed under: Glutamicibacter nicotianae
Lineage: Bacteria; Bacillati; Actinomycetota; Actinomycetes; Micrococcales; Micrococcaceae
Also listed under: 1 other name
Description: bacterial SSU rRNA
Rfam family: Bacterial small subunit ribosomal RNA
Source: RNAcentral